Molecule: ribosomal RNA, 497 nt
Filed under: uncultured bacterium
Lineage: Bacteria
Description: partial 16S ribosomal RNA
Rfam family: Bacterial small subunit ribosomal RNA
Source: RNAcentral
GAUGAACGCUGGCGGCGUGCCUAAUACAUGCAAGUCGAGCGAACAGACGAGGAGCUUGCUCCUCUGACGUUAGCGGCGGACGGGUGAGUAACACGUGGAUAACCUACCUAUAAGACUGGGAUAACUUCGGGAAACCGGAGCUAAUACCGGAUAAUAUAUUGAACCGCAUGGUUCAAUAGUGAAAGACGGUUUUGCUGUCACUUAUAGAUGGAUCCGCGCCGCAUUAGCUAGUUGGUAAGGUAACGGCUUACCAAGGCAACGAUGCGUAGCCGACCGGAGAGGGUGAUCGGCCACCUGGGAACUGAGACACGGACCAGACGCCUACGGGAGGGAGCAGUAGGGAAUGUUCCGCAGUGGGCGAAAGUUUGACGGAGCAACGGCGCGUGAGUUAUGAAGGUCUUGGGAUCGUAAAACUCUGUUAUUAGGGAAGAACAAAUGUGUAAGUAACUAUGCACGUCUUGACGGUACCUAAUCAGAAAGCCACGGCUAACUACGUG